AGAAUCAACGCUGGCGACGUGCCUAACACAUGCAAGUCGAACGAGAAAGUGGAGCAAUCCAUGAGUAAAGUGGCGACCGGGUGAGUAACACGUGACUAACCUACCUUUUAGUGGAGAAUAACCUCGGGAAACCGAGGCUAAUACCGCAUAACAUCGCAAGAUCAAAGCAGCAAUGCGCUGGAAGAGGGGGUCGCGGCUGAUUAGCUAGUUGGCGGGUAACGGCCCACCAAGGCGAAGAUCGGUAUCCGGCCUGAGAGGGCGCACGGACACACUGGAACUGAAACACGGUCCAGACUCCUACGGGAGGCAGCAGUGGGGAAUUUUGCGCAAUGGGAAAAACCCUAACGCAGCAACGCCGCGUGGAGGAUGAAGCCCCUUGGGGCGUAAACUCCUUUCGACCAAGACGAUAAUGACGGUACUGGUGGAAGAAGCACCGGCUAACUCUGCGCCAGCAGCCGC
RNAcentral lists this ribosomal RNA (459 nucleotides) under uncultured bacterium. Its description in RNAcentral is "SSU rRNA". It matches the Rfam family "Bacterial small subunit ribosomal RNA", at positions 26 to 518 of the family's 1533-position model. The record is from RNAcentral.